RNAcentral lists this transfer RNA (76 nucleotides) under Gallicola sp. RNAcentral's name for it is "tRNA-Thr". It matches the Rfam family "tRNA". Rfam says of the family: Transfer RNA (tRNA) molecules are approximately 80 nucleotides in length. Their secondary structure includes four short double-helical elements and three loops (D, anti-codon, and T loops). Lineage: Bacteria; Bacillati; Bacillota; Tissierellia; Tissierellales; Peptoniphilaceae. The record is from RNAcentral.
GCUGCUAUAGCUCAGUUGGUAGAGCGCGUCAUUGGUAAUGACGAGGUCACAAGUUCGAUUCUUGUUAGCAGCACCA